GGAAGCGUGCCCGAGCAGGGACUACCUUGAUAGCGUAGACACGGAGCCAAAAUUCCCACUUCCC
Molecule: transfer RNA, 64 nt
Filed under: Myrrophis chinensis (Chinese water snake)
Lineage: Eukaryota; Metazoa; Chordata; Lepidosauria; Squamata; Homalopsidae
Description: tRNA-Ile
Source: RNAcentral